RNAcentral lists this ribosomal RNA (272 nucleotides) under uncultured bacterium. RNAcentral describes it as "partial 16S ribosomal RNA". It matches the Rfam family "Bacterial small subunit ribosomal RNA", at positions 793 to 1055 of the family's 1533-position model. The record is from RNAcentral.
GUCCUAGCUGUAAACGAUGCACAUUAGGCGUGAGGGGUAUCGACCCCCUUCGUGCCGACGCAAACGCAUUAAAUGUGCCGCCUGGGGAGUACGGCCGCAAGGUUGAAACUCAAAGGAAUUGACGGGGGCCCCGCACAAGCGGUGGAGCAUGUGGUUUAAUUCGACGCAACGCGAAGAACCUUACCUAGGCUUGAACUACUGGAAGUAGUCUUGAUGAAAGUCGAGACGAACCGUCAAAUCGGAAACCAGCAGAGGUGCUGCAUGGCUGUCGU